GGAAUACCCGCUGAACUUAAGCAUAUCAAUAAGCGGA
Molecule: ribosomal RNA, 37 nt
Filed under: Trichoderma virens
Lineage: Eukaryota; Fungi; Ascomycota; Sordariomycetes; Hypocreales; Hypocreaceae
Also listed under: 1 other name
Description: partial 28S ribosomal RNA
Source: RNAcentral